GAUGAACGCUGGCGGCGUGCCUAAUACAUGCAAGUCGAGCGAACGGACCAGAAGCUUGCUUCUCUGAUGUUAGCGGCGGACGGGUGAGUAACACGUGGAUAACCUACCUAUAAGACUGGGAUAACUUCGGGAAACCGUAGCUAAUACCGGAUAAUAUUUUGAACCGCCUGGUUCAACAGUGAAAGACUGUCUUGCUGUCACUUAUAGAUGGAUCCGCGCUGCAUUAGCUAGUUGGUAAGGUAACGGCUUACCAAGGCAACGAUGCAUAGCCGACCUGAGAGGGGGAUCGGCCACACUGGAGCUGAGACACGGUCCAGACUCCUACGGGAGGCAGCAGUAGGGAAUCGUACGCAAUGGGCGAAAGCCUGACGGAGCAACGCAGCGUGAGUGAUGAAGGUCUUCGGAUCGUAAAACUCUGUUAUUAGGGAAGAACAUAUGUGAAAGGAACUGUGCACAUCUUGACGGUACCUAAACAGAAAGCCACGGCUAACUACGUG
RNAcentral lists this ribosomal RNA (497 nucleotides) under uncultured bacterium. RNAcentral's name for it is "partial 16S ribosomal RNA". It matches the Rfam family "Bacterial small subunit ribosomal RNA", at positions 28 to 507 of the family's 1533-position model. The record is from RNAcentral.